UAGUAAAGCUUAGUAAACUUAGUUCCCAG
This 29-nucleotide non-coding RNA is filed under the name Rattus norvegicus (Norway rat). Lineage: Eukaryota; Metazoa; Chordata; Mammalia; Rodentia; Muridae. The record is from RNAcentral.